RNAcentral lists this ribosomal RNA (520 nucleotides) under Pseudocercospora pistacina. Its description in RNAcentral is "eukaryotic LSU rRNA". The stretch from base 174 to 327 matches the Rfam family "5.8S ribosomal RNA". Lineage: Eukaryota; Fungi; Ascomycota; Dothideomycetes; Mycosphaerellales; Mycosphaerellaceae. The record is from RNAcentral.
GUAACAAGGUCUCCGUAGGUGAACCUGCGGAGGGAUCAUUACCGAGUGAGGGCUCGCGCCCGACCUCCCACCCUCUGUGAACCCAAUCCUGUUGCUUUGGGGGCGCCCGGCGCGCCCCCAGAGGCCCAUCAUACACUGCAUCUGUGCGUCGGAGCGUAAAUCAAUGUAAACAAAACUUUCAACAACGGAUCUCUUGGUUCUGGCAUCGAUGAAGAACGCAGCGAAAUGCGAUAAGUAAUGUGAAUUGCAGAAUUCAGUGAAUCAUCGAAUCUUUGAACGCACAUUGCGCCCUUUGGUGUUCCGAAGGGCAUGCCUGUUCGAGCGUCAUUUCAACACUCAAGCCUCGCUUGGUAUUGGGCGUCGCGAUCCCGCGCGCCUCAAAGUCCUCGGCUGAGCUGCCCGCCUCCCAGCGUUGUGGAAUCUGACGAUUCGCUCCGGAGCGCGGGGGGCCGCGGCCGUUAAAUCUUCCUUCCAGGUUGACCUCGGAUCAGGUAGGGAUACCCGCUGAACUUAAGCAUAU